GACGAUGCGUAGCCGACCUGAGAGGGUGAUCGGCCACACUGGGACUGAGACACGGCCCAGACUCCUACGGGAGGCAGCAGUAGGGAAUCUUCCGCAAUGGACGAAAGUCUGACGGAGCAACGCCGCGUGAGUGAUGAAGGUUUUCGGAUCGUAAAGCUCUGUUGUUAGGGAAGAACAAGUGCAAGAGUAACUGCUUGCACCUUGACGGUACCUAACCAGAAAGCCACGGCUAACUACGUGCCAGCAGCCGCG
Molecule: ribosomal RNA, 252 nt
Filed under: Bacillus altitudinis
Lineage: Bacteria; Bacillati; Bacillota; Bacilli; Caryophanales; Bacillaceae
Description: partial 16S ribosomal RNA
Rfam family: Bacterial small subunit ribosomal RNA
Source: RNAcentral